GCUGAAGAACGUAGCGAAAUGCGAUAAGUAAUGUGAAUUGCAGAAUUCAGUGAAUCAUCGAAUCUUUGAACGCACAUUGCGCCCUCUGGUAUUCCGGGGGGCAUGCCUGUUCGAGCGUCAUUACAACCCUCAAGCUUUGCUUGGUAUUGGACAUUGCCAGUUUCUGGCAGGUCUUAAAAUCAGUGGCGGUGCCAUUUGGCUUCAAGCGUAGUAAUUCUUCUCGCUUUGGAGAUCCAGGUGGUUACUUGCCAAUAACCCCCAAUUUUUUCAGGUUGACCUCGGAUCAGGUAGGGAUACCCGCUGAACUUAAGCAUAUCAAUAAGCGGAGGA
This 330-nucleotide unclassified non-coding RNA is filed under the name soil metagenome. Its description in RNAcentral is "partial contains 5.8S ribosomal RNA, internal transcribed spacer 2, and large subunit ribosomal RNA". The stretch from base 3 to 120 matches the Rfam family "5.8S ribosomal RNA", at positions 37 to 154 of the family's 154-position model. The record is from RNAcentral.